This 389-nucleotide ribosomal RNA is filed under the name uncultured bacterium. RNAcentral's name for it is "bacterial SSU rRNA". It matches the Rfam family "Bacterial small subunit ribosomal RNA", at positions 28 to 417 of the family's 1533-position model. The record is from RNAcentral.
GACGAACGCUGGCGGCGUGCUUAACACAUGCAAGUCGAGCGGUAAGGCCCUUUCGGGGGUACACGAGCGGCGAACGGGUGAGUAACACGUGGGUGACCUGCCCUCAGCUCUGGGAUAAGCCUGGGAAACCGGGUCUAAUACUGGAUAUGACUCCAUGACGCAUGUUGUGGGGUGGAAAGCCUUGUGCGGCUGAGGAUGGGCCCGCGGCCUAUCAGCUUGUUGGUGGGGUGANGGCCUACCAAGGCGACGACGGGUAGCCGGCCUGAGAGGGCGACCGGCCACACUGGGACUGAGACACGGCCCAGACUCCUACGGGAGGGCAGCAGUGGGGAAUCUUGCGCAAUGGGCGAAAGCCUGACGCAGCGACGCCGCGUGAGGGAUGACGGCCU